UUUUUUUCUAUGCCUCGGCGCCUCUAUGGAUGUCAUAUUUAGAUCAGAUGCAGUCUGAGCCUUGUUCUGAAUUUCAAAAUCCCCUUUGACAACACCUGCACAGCUGAGAAAUCAAGGACCUUCUGACCAAGGGCUGAAUUAUAGUGAACACUGCCAUUCAGAGACUUUGAAACAGAUUGAUGAAUCAACUACAUGCAUUAUGUCAGAGGAAUCUAGCUGGAGCACCUAUUUAGCAGCCAGGACACAUAGAUGUACCUGUACAGUUGAUACAGAUAAUCUCAAUGGCACAUUUCUAAAUGAUGGCCAAAAAAAUCUAAUAAAGACACUGU
Saccostrea cuccullata (small rock oyster) is the source of this 329-nucleotide long non-coding RNA. RefSeq lists it as uncharacterized. The transcript has 4 exons. The record is from RefSeq and is a predicted model, not a curated record. Lineage: Eukaryota; Metazoa; Mollusca; Bivalvia; Ostreida; Ostreidae.